RNAcentral lists this ribosomal RNA (3018 nucleotides) under Klebsiella oxytoca MGH 42. Its description in RNAcentral is "bacterial LSU rRNA". It matches the Rfam family "Bacterial large subunit ribosomal RNA". The record is from RNAcentral. Lineage: Bacteria; Pseudomonadati; Pseudomonadota; Gammaproteobacteria; Enterobacterales; Enterobacteriaceae.
UUAAGCGACUAAGCGUACACGGUGGAUGCCCUGGCAGUCAGAGGCGAUGAAGGACGUGCUAAUCUGCGAAAAGCGUCGGUAAGGUGAUAUGAACCGUUACAGCCGGCGAUGUCCGAAUGGGGAAACCCAGUGCAAUUCGUUGCACUAUCGUUAACUGAAUACAUAGGUUAACGAGGCGAACCGGGGGAACUGAAACAUCUAAGUACCCCGAGGAAAAGAAAUCAACCGAGAUUCCCCCAGUAGCGGCGAGCGAACGGGGAGCAGCCCGGAGUCUGAAUCAGCUUGUGUGUUAGUGGAAGCGUCUGGAAAGUCGCAGGGUACAGGGUGAUACUCCCGUACACUAAAACACACAGGUUGUGAACUCGAAGAGUAGGGCGGGACACGUGGUAUCCUGUCUGAAUAUGGGGGGACCAUCCUCCAAGGCUAAAUACUCCUGACUGACCGAUAGUGAACCAGUACCGUGAGGGAAAGGCGAAAAGAACCCCGGCGAGGGGAGUGAAAAAGAACCUGAAACCGUGUACGUACAAGCAGUAGGAGCCCCACCACCAAAGCGUUUCGCUUUGCGUGGUGCGCAAAAUGCGUAACGACAGCAUGAUGGACGGUUAACGGAGCGUCAGCGACGUUCAACCUCAAAAAUCAGGCAGUGGAGCGUUUUGGGGUGGGGUGACUGCGUACCUUUUGUAUAAUGGGUCAGCGACUUAUAUUCUGUAGCAAGGUUAACCGUAUAGGGGAGCCGCAGGGAAACCGAGUCUUAACUGGGCGUUAAGUUGCAGGGUAUAGACCCGAAACCCGGUGAUCUAGCCAUGGGCAGGUUGAAGGUUGGGUAACACUAACUGGAGGACCGAACCGACUAAUGUUGAAAAAUUAGCGGAUGACUUGUGGCUGGGGGUGAAAGGCCAAUCAAACCGGGAGAUAGCUGGUUCUCCCCGAAAGCUAUUUAGGUAGCGCCUCGUGAAUUCAUCUUCGGGGGUAGAGCACUGUUUCGGCUAGGGGGUCAUCCCGACUUACCAACCCGAUGCAAACUACGAAUACCGAAGAAUGUUAUCACGGGAGACACACGGCGGGUGCUAACGUCCGUCGUGAAGAGGGAAACAACCCAGACCGCCAGCUAAGGUCCCAAAGUCAUGGUUAAGUGGGAAACGAUGUGGGAAGGCCCAGACAGCCAGGAUGUUGGCUUAGAAGCAGCCAUCAUUUAAAGAAAGCGUAAUAGCUCACUGGUCGAGUCGGCCUGCGCGGAAGAUGUAACGGGGCUAAACCAUGCACCGAAGCUGCGGCAGCGACACUAUGUGUUGUUGGGUAGGGGAGCGUUCUGUAAGCCGUUGAAGGUGGCCUGUGAGGGUUGCUGGAGGUAUCAGAAGUGCGAAUGCUGACAUAAGUAACGAUAAUGCGGGUGAAAAACCCGCACGCCGGAAGACCAAGGGUUCCUGUCCAACGUUAAUCGGGGCAGGGUGAGUCGACCCCUAAGGCGAGGCCGAAAGGCGUAGUCGAUGGGAAACAGGUUAAUAUUCCUGUACUUGGUGUUACUGCGAAGGGGGGACGGAGAAGGCUAUGUUGGCCGGGCGACGGUUGUCCCGGUUUAAGCAUGUAGGCGGAUGUUCCAGGUAAAUCCGGAACGUUAUUAACGCUGAGGUGUGAUGACGAGGCACUACGGUGCUGAAGUGACAAAUGCCCUGCUUCCAGGAAAAGCCUCUAAGCAUCAGGUAACAUCAAAUCGUACCCCAAACCGACACAGGUGGUCAGGUAGAGAAUACCAAGGCGCUUGAGAGAACUCGGGUGAAGGAACUAGGCAAAAUGGUGCCGUAACUUCGGGAGAAGGCACGCUGAUGGUAGGUGAAGUGACUUGCUCAUGGAGCUGAAAUCAGUCGAAGAUACCAGCUGGCUGCAACUGUUUAUUAAAAACACAGCACUGUGCAAACACGAAAGUGGACGUAUACGGUGUGACGCCUGCCCGGUGCCGGAAGGUUAAUUGAUGGGGUUAUCCUCGCGGAGAAGCUCUUGAUCGAAGCCCCGGUAAACGGCGGCCGUAACUAUAACGGUCCUAAGGUAGCGAAAUUCCUUGUCGGGUAAGUUCCGACCUGCACGAAUGGCGUAAUGAUGGCCAGGCUGUCUCCACCCGAGACUCAGUGAAAUUGAACUCGCUGUGAAGAUGCAGUGUACCCGCGGCAAGACGGAAAGACCCCGUGAACCUUUACUAUAGCUUGACACUGAACACUGGUCCUUGAUGUGUAGGAUAGGUGGGAGGCUUUGAAGUGUGGACGCCAGUCUGCAUGGAGCCAUCCUUGAAAUACCACCCUUUAAUGGCUGGUGUUCUAACGUGGGCCCGUGAUCCGGGUUGCGGACAGUGUCUGGUGGGUAGUUUGACUGGGGCGGUCUCCUCCUAAAGAGUAACGGAGGAGCACGAAGGUCAGCUAAUCCUGGUCGGACAUCAGGAGGUUAGUGCAAUGGCAUAAGCUGGCUUGACUGCGAGCGUGACGGCGCGAGCAGGUGCGAAAGCAGGUCAUAGUGAUCCGGUGGUUCUGAAUGGAAGGGCCAUCGCUCAACGGAUAAAAGGUACUCCGGGGAUAACAGGCUGAUACCGCCCAAGAGUUCAUAUCGACGGCGGUGUUUGGCACCUCGAUGUCGGCUCAUCACAUCCUGGGGCUGAAGUAGGUCCCAAGGGUAUGGCUGUUCGCCAUUUAAAGUGGUACGCGAGCUGGGUUUAGAACGUCGUGAGACAGUUCGGUCCCUAUCUGCCGUGGGCGCUGGAGAAUUGAGGGGGGCUGCUCCUAGUACGAGAGGACCGGAGUGGACGCAUCACUGGUGUUCGGGUUGUCAUGCCAAUGGCAUUGCCCGGUAGCUAAAUGCGGAAGAGAUAAGUGCUGAAAGCAUCUAAGCACGAAACUUGCCCCGAGAUGAGUUCUCCCUGACCCUUUAAGGGUCCUGAAGGAACGUUGAAGACGACGACGUUGAUAGGCCGGGUGUGUAAGCGCAGCGAUGCGUUGAGCUAACCGGUACUAAUGAACCGUGAGGCUUAACCUU